GCGGACGUGGCGGAACGGCAUACGCAACGGAUUUAAAAUCCGUCGGGGAAACCUUAUGGGUUCAAAUCCCAUCGUCCGCACCA
This 83-nucleotide transfer RNA is filed under the name Eubacteriales bacterium OttesenSCG-928-K08. RNAcentral's name for it is "tRNA-Leu". It matches the Rfam family "tRNA". Rfam says of the family: Transfer RNA (tRNA) molecules are approximately 80 nucleotides in length. Their secondary structure includes four short double-helical elements and three loops (D, anti-codon, and T loops). The record is from RNAcentral. Lineage: Bacteria; Bacillati; Bacillota; Clostridia; Eubacteriales.